Long non-coding RNA from Thalassophryne amazonica, 531 nucleotides. RefSeq lists it as uncharacterized. NCBI's taxonomy places the organism in Eukaryota, Metazoa, Chordata, Actinopteri, Batrachoidiformes, Batrachoididae. The record is from RefSeq and is a predicted model, not a curated record. The transcript has 3 exons.
UGCCUCUCCCUGUUGCCCUCAGGUCUUUCUGUUGCCUCUCCCUGUUGCCUUCAGGUCUUUCUGUUGCCUCUUUGUCUCCUGCCCAUUGCCUCUCCCUGUUACCUUCAGGUCUUUCUGUUGCCUCUUUGUCUCCUGCCCGUUGCCUCUCCCUGUUGCCCUCAGGUCUUUCUGUUGCCUCUUUGUCUCCUGCCCGUUGCCUCUCCCUGUUGCCUUCAGGUCUUUCUGUUGCCUCUUUGUCUCCUGCCCGUUGCCUCUCCCUGUUGCCUUCAGGUCUUUCUGUUGCCUCUUUGUCUCCUGCCCAUUGCCUCUCCCUGUUACCUUCAGGUCUUUCUGUUGCCUCUUUGUCUCCUGCCCGUUGCCUCUCCCUGUUGCCCUCAGGUCUUUCUGUUGCCUCUCCCCGUUGCCCUCAGGUCUUUCUGUUGCCUCUUUGUCUCCUGCCCGUUGCCUCUCCCUGUUGCCCUCAGGUCUUUCUGUUGCCUCUUUGUCUCCUGCCCGUUGCCUCUCCCUGUUGCCUUCAGGUCUUUCUGUUGC